This 2930-nucleotide ribosomal RNA is filed under the name Escherichia coli. Its description in RNAcentral is "23S ribosomal RNA". It matches the Rfam family "Bacterial large subunit ribosomal RNA". Lineage: Bacteria; Pseudomonadati; Pseudomonadota; Gammaproteobacteria; Enterobacterales; Enterobacteriaceae. The record is from RNAcentral.
GGGUUGUGAGGUUAAGCGACUAAGCGUACACGGUGGAUGCCCUGGCAGUCAGAGGCGAUGAAGGACGUGCUAAUCUGCGAUAAGCGUCGGUAAGGUGAUAUGAACCGUUAUAACCGGCGAUUUCCGAAUGGGGAAACCCAGUGUGUUUCGACACACUAUCAUUAACUGAAUCCAUAGGUUAAUGAGGCGAACCGGGGGAACUGAAACAUCUAAGUACCCCGAGGAAAAGAAAUCAACCGAGAUUCCCCCAGUAGCGGCGAGCGAACGGGGAGCAGCCCAGAGCCUGAAUCAGUGUGUGUGUUAGUGGAAGCGUCUGGAAAGGCGCGCGAUACAGGGUGACAGCCCCGUACACAAAAAUGCACAUGCUGUGAGCUCGAUGAGUAGGGCGGGACACGUGGUAUCCUGUCUGAAUAUGGGGGGACCAUCCUCCAAGGCUAAAUACUCCUGACUGACCGAUAGUGAACCAGUACCGUGAGGGAAAGGCGAAAAGAACCCCGGCGAGGGGAGUGAAAAAGAACCUGAAACCGUGUACGUACAAGCAGUGGGAGCACGCUUCGGCGUGUGACUGCGUACCUUUUGUAUAAUGGGUCAGCGACUUAUAUUCUGUAGCAAGGUUAACCGAAUAGGGGAGCCGAAGGGAAACCGAGUCUUAACUGGGCGUUAAGUUGCAGGGUAUAGACCCGAAACCCGGUGAUCUAGCCAUGGGCAGGUUGAAGGUUGGGUAACACUAACUGGAGGACCGAACCGACUAAUGUUGAAAAAUUAGCGGAUGACUUGUGGCUGGGGGUGAAAGGCCAAUCAAACCGGGAGAUAGCUGGUUCUCCCCGAAAGCUAUUUAGGUAGCGCCUCGUGAAUUCAUCUCCGGGGGUAGAGCACUGUUUCGGCAAGGGGGUCAUCCCGACUUACCAACCCGAUGCAAACUGCGAAUACCGGAGAAUGUUAUCACGGGAGACACACGGCGGGUGCUAACGUCCGUCGUGAAGAGGGAAACAACCCAGACCGCCAGCUAAGGUCCCAAAGUCAUGGUUAAGUGGGAAACGAUGUGGGAAGGCCCAGACAGCCAGGAUGUUGGCUUAGAAGCAGCCAUCAUUUAAAGAAAGCGUAAUAGCUCACUGGUCGAGUCGGCCUGCGCGGAAGAUGUAACGGGGCUAAACCAUGCACCGAAGCUGCGGCAGCGACGCUGAUGCGUUGUUGGGUAGGGGAGCGUUCUGUAAGCCUGCGAAGGUGUGCUGUGAGGCAUGCUGGAGGUAUCAGAAGUGCGAAUGCUGACAUAAGUAACGAUAAAGCGGGUGAAAAGCCCGCUCGCCGGAAGACCAAGGGUUCCUGUCCAACGUUAAUCGGGGCAGGGUGAGUCGACCCCUAAGGCGAGGCCGAAAGGCGUAGUCGAUGGGAAACAGGUUAAUAUUCCUGUACUUGGUGUUACUGCGAAGGGGGGACGGAGAAGGCUAUGUUGGCCGGGCGACGGUUGUCCCGGUUUAAGCGUGUAGGCUGGUUUUCCAGGCAAAUCCGGAAAAUCAAGGCUGAGGCGUGAUGACGAGGCACUACGGUGCUGAAGCAACAAAUGCCCUGCUUCCAGGAAAAGCCUCUAAGCAUCAGGUAACAUCAAAUCGUACCCCAAACCGACACAGGUGGUCAGGUAGAGAAUACCAAGGCGCUUGAGAGAACUCGGGUGAAGGAACUAGGCAAAAUGGUGCCGUAACUUCGGGAGAAGGCACGCUGAUAUGUAGGUGAGGUCCCUCGCGGAUGGAGCUGAAAUCAGUCGAAGAUACCAGCUGGCUGCAACUGUUUAUUAAAAACACAGCACUGUGCAAACACGAAAGUGGACGUAUACGGUGUGACGCCUGCCCGGUGCCGGAAGGUUAAUUGAUGGGGUCAGCGCAAGCGAAGCUCUUGAUCGAAGCCCCGGUAAACGGCGGCCGUAACUAUAACGGUCCUAAGGUAGCGAAAUUCCUUGUCGGGUAAGUUCCGACCUGCACGAAUGGCGUAAUGAUGGCCAGGCUGUCUCCACCCGAGACUCAGUGAAAUUGAACUCGCUGUGAAGAUGCAGUGUACCCGCGGCAAGACGGAAAGACCCCGUGAACCUUUACUAUAGCUUGACACUGAACAUUGAGCCUUGAUGUGUAGGAUAGGUGGGAGGCUUUGAAGUGUGGACGCCAGUCUGCAUGGAGCCGACCUUGAAAUACCACCCUUUAAUGUUUGAUGUUCUAACGUUGACCCGUAAUCCGGGUUGCGGACAGUGUCUGGUGGGUAGUUUGACUGGGGCGGUCUCCUCCUAAAGAGUAACGGAGGAGCACGAAGGUUGGCUAAUCCUGGUCGGACAUCAGGAGGUUAGUGCAAUGGCAUAAGCCAGCUUGACUGCGAGCGUGACGGCGCGAGCAGGUGCGAAAGCAGGUCAUAGUGAUCCGGUGGUUCUGAAUGGAAGGGCCAUCGCUCAACGGAUAAAAGGUACUCCGGGGAUAACAGGCUGAUACCGCCCAAGAGUUCAUAUCGACGGCGGUGUUUGGCACCUCGAUGUCGGCUCAUCACAUCCUGGGGCUGAAGUAGGUCCCAAGGGUAUGGCUGUUCGCCAUUUAAAGUGGUACGCGAGCUGGGUUUAGAACGUCGUGAGACAGUUCGGUCCCUAUCUGCCGUGGGCGCUGGAGAACUGAGGGGGGCUGCUCCUAGUACGAGAGGACCGGAGUGGACGCAUCACUGGUGUUCGGGUUGUCAUGCCAAUGGCACUGCCCGGUAGCUAAAUGCGGAAGAGAUAAGUGCUGAAAGCAUCUAAGCACGAAACUUGCCCCGAGAUGAGUUCUCCCUGACCCUUUAAGGGUCCUGAAGGAACGUUGAAGACGACGACGUUGAUAGGCCGGGUGUGUAAGCGCAGCGAUGCGUUGAGCUAACCGGUACUAAUGAACCGUGAGGCUUAACCUUACAACGCCGAAGCUGUU